GAUGAACGCUGGCGGCGUGCUUAACACAUGCAAGUCGAACGAUGAAGCCCAGCUUGCUGGGUGGAUUAGUGGCGAACGGGUGAGUAACACGUGAGUAACCUGCCCUUAACUCUGGGAUAAGCCUGGGAAACUGGGUCUAAUACCGGAUAGGAGCGUCCACCGCAUGGUGGGUGUUGGAAAGAUUUAUCGGUUUUGGAUGGACUCGCGGCCUAUCAGCUUGUUAGUGAGGUAAUGGCUCACCAAGGCGACGACGGGUAGCCGGCCUGAGAGGGUGACCGGCCACACUGGGACUGAGACACGGCCCAGACUCCUACGGGAGGCAGCAGUGGGGAAUAUUGCACAAUGGGCGCAAGCCUGAUGCAGCGACGCCGCGUGAGGGAUGACGGCCUUCGGGUUGUAAACCUCUUUCAGUAGGGAAGAAGCGAAAGUGACGGUACCUGCAGAAGAAGCACCGGCUAACUACGUG
This 466-nucleotide ribosomal RNA is filed under the name uncultured bacterium. RNAcentral describes it as "partial 16S ribosomal RNA". It matches the Rfam family "Bacterial small subunit ribosomal RNA", at positions 28 to 507 of the family's 1533-position model. The record is from RNAcentral.